This 525-nucleotide ribosomal RNA is filed under the name uncultured bacterium. RNAcentral's name for it is "bacterial SSU rRNA". It matches the Rfam family "Bacterial small subunit ribosomal RNA", at positions 353 to 896 of the family's 1533-position model. The record is from RNAcentral.
AGUGGGGAAUCUUAGACAAUGGGGGAAACCCUGAUCUAGCCAUGCCGCGUGAGCGAUGAAGGCCUUAGGGUUGUAAAGCUCUUUCAGCUGGGAAGAUAAUGACGGUACCAGCAGAAGAAGCCCCGGCUAACUCCGUGCCAGCAGCCGCGGUAAUACGGAGGGGGCUAGCGUUGUUCGGAAUUACUGGGCGUAAAGCGCGCGUAGGCGGGCUGUUAAGUCGGGGGUGAAAUCCCGGGGCUCAACCCCGGAACUGCCUUCGAUACUGGCAGCCUAGAGGUCGAGAGAGGUGAGUGGAAUCCCGAGCGUAGAGGUGAAAUUCGUAGAUAUUCGGAGGAACACCAGUGGCGAAGGCGGCUCACUGGCUCGAUACUGACGCUGAGGUGCGAAAGUGUGGGGAGCAAACAGGAUUAGAUACCCUGGUAGUCCACACCGUAAACGAUGAAUGCCAGACGUCGGGCAGCAUGCUGUUCGGUGUCACACCUAACGGAUUAAGCAUUCCGCCUGGGGAGUACGGCCGCAAGGUUA